This 497-nucleotide ribosomal RNA is filed under the name uncultured bacterium. RNAcentral's name for it is "partial 16S ribosomal RNA". It matches the Rfam family "Bacterial small subunit ribosomal RNA", at positions 28 to 507 of the family's 1533-position model. The record is from RNAcentral.
GAUGAACGCUGGCGGCGUGCCUAAUACAUGCAAGUCGAGCGAACGGACGAGAAGCUUGCUUCUCUGGUGUUAGCGGCGGACGGGUGAGUAACACGUGGAUAACCUACCUAUAAGACUGGGAUAACUUCGGGAAACCGGUGCUAAUACCGGAUAAUAUUUUGAACCGCAUGGUUCAAAAGUGAAAGAUGGUCUUGCUUUCACUUAUAGAUGGAUCCGCGCUGCAUUAGCUAGUUGGUAAGGUAACGGCUUACCAAGGCAACGAUGCAUAGCCGACCUGAGAGGGUGAUCGGCCACACGGGAACUGGGACACGGUCCAGACUCCUACGGGAGGCAGCAGUAGGGAAUCUUCCGCAAUGGGCGAAAGCCUGACGGAGCAACGCCGCGUGAGUGAUGAAGGUCCUCGGAUCGUAAACCUCUGUUAUUAGGGAAGAACAUAUGUGUAAGUAACUGUGCACAUCUUGACGGUACCUAAUCAGAAAGCCACGGCUAACUACGUG